AUUUGCUUUAUCUGUAUUGCUUCAUUUCAUCUUUAUAGUGUCUUGUGAGAUGGGUGUGUUUAUUCCCAUUUUACAGAGAAUAUCCAUUUAUAUAAUGUCAUGAACGUAUAUCCGAUGACAUCAUUUGCCUGCAAACGUACCCAGUGAGUGGCAGAGUCAUCCUGAAGCCUGCUUUCCGGGCCCUGCCUAUAUUCUGGCAUCCUUCCCGUUCAACACAAUUCUCUUCCUUCCCUUUCCUGGAGACAACUAGCAUGCUGUCCUCAAAGAACUGCCAUUGCUGAAUUCUGCCCCAGUGCAAGGCUGCCGCGCUAAUGAACGGU
Molecule: long non-coding RNA, 320 nt
Filed under: Papio anubis (olive baboon)
Lineage: Eukaryota; Metazoa; Chordata; Mammalia; Primates; Cercopithecidae
Description: lncRNA (ENSPANG00000039160.1)
Source: RNAcentral